Non-coding RNA from Podarcis lilfordi (Lilford's wall lizard), 69 nucleotides. The record is from the annotation of a GenBank genome assembly. Lineage: Eukaryota; Metazoa; Chordata; Lepidosauria; Squamata; Lacertidae.
GGAUAACUCAGUUGGUAGAAAAGGAGACUCUUGAUCUCCAAGUUAAGGGUUCGAGCCCCAUGUUGGGCA